This 465-nucleotide ribosomal RNA is filed under the name uncultured bacterium. Its description in RNAcentral is "partial 16S ribosomal RNA". It matches the Rfam family "Bacterial small subunit ribosomal RNA", at positions 28 to 507 of the family's 1533-position model. The record is from RNAcentral.
GACGAACGCUGGCGGCGUGCUUAACACAUGCAAGUCGAACGGAGAGGCGCUGCUCGUAGGGUACUGGAGUGGCGAACGGGUGAGUGACGCGUGGGUGGUCAGCCUCCCACUUCGGGAUAAGCCAGGGCAACUGGGUAUAAUACCGGAUAGGAGCUAUUUUUAGUGUGAUGGUUGGAAAGUUUUUUCGGUGUAGGAUGAGCUCGGGGGGUAUCAGCUCGUUGAGGGAGCUAUGGGCUACCAUGGCGGCUUCGGGUGGCGGGCCUGGGAGGGUGGCCGGCGACAGUGGGACUGAGGUACGGCCCAGACUCGUACGGGAGGCAGCAGUGGGGAAGAUUGCAGGAUGGGCGCAAGCCGAGUGCGGCAAGGCCGCGGUGGGGAUGACGGCCUUCGUGGUGAAGACUCCUUUCGCUAGUGACGAAGCUUUUUGUGACGGUACCUAGAUAAAAAGCAGCGGCUAACUACGUG